RNAcentral lists this long non-coding RNA (717 nucleotides) under Mus caroli (Ryukyu mouse). RNAcentral's name for it is "lncRNA (MGP_CAROLIEiJ_G0013423.1)". The record is from RNAcentral. Lineage: Eukaryota; Metazoa; Chordata; Mammalia; Rodentia; Muridae.
UGUGUUCCAGAAUUUUCCUGGAACCGGAGUCCCAACAAUUCCAGAAAUUACAGAGCAGGUAUAAGCACAGAAGUGUCUGUCUCCUCUCCUCCUCGUCCUUGUCCAUGUUGUAUAAUUCCCCUCACCUUGUAAUGCUCUUCCUGUUGUAGUUUUGUAUGAGAAAAGCCAGGCAAGGGACACAAUGAACACAAAAAUGCUCGGCACUAAAUUUAGCUAAUAUUCGGUGGUGGGUUAACUUUAUCGUUUUGGAGGUUUUGUUUUGGAGUUUGUUUUUUGCUGUUUUGUUUUGUUUGAGAAAGGAUCUCUAGCUCUCUUAGGUCCCAUUGAAACUCUAUAUAUGGCUCAGGCUGACCUCCAACUUUUUUCUAUUGCCGCAGCCUAUCCCAGAGUAUGUGCAAUCGUGCCUGGCUCAAGCCUUAUCUUUUGAUGGGCACCCGACGGGCUCAAACCAUUUUUUCAGGACGUUCUACGCGCAGUGCAGAGUUAAAAAGACCACUUGGAAGCCCGGGAAAUCCUUUUAUUGGAUUAAGAGCCCAUCGAGUCCUGGAAGAACGGUUUAAAUUUGAGGUGAUGCAAAACCCAUGUCAACAGUAAAUGACUAUUUAACUUCCUUAAAAAGUACACCGAUACAAUGAAGGAUGAACAGUCCUGUUUAAUUAAAACCUGUCUACUGGCCUGGUGAGAUGGAGAAAAUGAAAAUAUAUGAGUUACACAGUC